This 72-nucleotide transfer RNA is filed under the name Phrynosoma platyrhinos (Desert horned lizard). RNAcentral describes it as "tRNA-OTHER". Lineage: Eukaryota; Metazoa; Chordata; Lepidosauria; Squamata; Phrynosomatidae. The record is from RNAcentral.
GUCAGCAUGGCAUAGUGGUCUGAGCACUGGACUACGAUUCUGGAGAGCAGGGUUCGAAUCCCAGCUUGGCCA